GUCUACAGCGAUACCACCCUGACCACACCUGAGCAUCUCAUCUGAGUAGCUAAGCAGGGUCAGGCCUGAUUAGUACUUGGGUGGGAGACCUAUAUAAGCAAAGAGGAUGCAUACU
Molecule: ribosomal RNA, 115 nt
Filed under: Nannospalax galili (Upper Galilee mountains blind mole rat)
Lineage: Eukaryota; Metazoa; Chordata; Mammalia; Rodentia; Spalacidae
Source: RNAcentral